This 73-nucleotide transfer RNA is filed under the name Camelus bactrianus (Bactrian camel). It matches the Rfam family "tRNA". From Rfam's summary of the family: Transfer RNA (tRNA) molecules are approximately 80 nucleotides in length. Their secondary structure includes four short double-helical elements and three loops (D, anti-codon, and T loops). Further hydrogen bonds mediate the characteristic L-shaped molecular structure. tRNAs have two regions of fundamental functional importance: the anti-codon, which is responsible for specific mRNA codon recognition, and the 3' end, to which the tRNAs corresponding amino acid is attached (by aminoacyl-tRNA synthetases). tRNAs cope with the degeneracy of the genetic code in two manners: having more than one tRNA (with a specific anti-codon) for a particular amino acid; and 'wobble' base-pairing, i.e. permitting non-standard base-pairing at the 3rd anti-codon position. The record is from Rfam by way of RNAcentral. RNAcentral also lists the same sequence under 1 other name. Lineage: Eukaryota; Metazoa; Chordata; Mammalia; Artiodactyla; Camelidae.
GAGGGUAUGGCUUAAGUAGUAGAGUGAGUGCUCAGCAUGCAUGAGGUCCUGGGUUCAAUUCCCAGUACCUCCU